Molecule: transfer RNA, 73 nt
Filed under: Eudorina elegans
Lineage: Eukaryota; Viridiplantae; Chlorophyta; Chlorophyceae; Chlamydomonadales; Volvocaceae
Description: tRNA-Trp
Rfam family: tRNA
About the family: Transfer RNA (tRNA) molecules are approximately 80 nucleotides in length. Their secondary structure includes four short double-helical elements and three loops (D, anti-codon, and T loops).
Source: RNAcentral
AGAAGUGUAGCUUAAUUGGUAAAGCGUAUGAUUCCAAAUCAUAAGACUGAAGGUUCGAGUCCUUUCAUUUCUG